This 1166-nucleotide long non-coding RNA is filed under the name Mus musculus (house mouse). RNAcentral describes it as "long non-coding RNA chr8:104217929-104219095". The record is from RNAcentral. Lineage: Eukaryota; Metazoa; Chordata; Mammalia; Rodentia; Muridae.
AGACAGGCCCUUGGGCCUGUAUCGUGGAGGAACAACACAGUUCUUCUAAUGUCUGUGCCAGGAUUGAGAGCUCAAGAGAAACAAGGUGUGGGCAGCCCCAUACACACAUAAUGCUUCCUAGACAUCACUCAGAGGAGGCACAGAAGAGUCCACUGCUCAGUAAGUGCCCAGCCAGCUCUGGUGACCUGGGUGUAAGAGGUCUCAGACCAACCAAAGAGCCAGCGCUGUCAUCCAGGGUGGUAACUCCCAGCUGGGGACUGGGCUGAUGAAGUCUGGCCUUGCCUCUCUGGGAUAUACACAGAGACAACACACACACAUGUACCCCACAAAAAAAAAAAAAAAAAAAAAAAAGCAAAAAAAAAACAAAAAAAACUUCAUGUCACUAUGAGACCAGUGUCUGCUGCCAACAUCCCAUCACGGAAGCAGGUGUGUGGAGGCAGCCAGUUGGAGAUAGGCUCAGAUAUUAGCCUUUGAGCUCCAGCGAUGUGAUCUCCAUCGAAGACUAUAUAAGGUGACGAGGCCAUCUUUGAAGACCCGGCUUGCCAAAGCUAAGCACCUUUGAGGAGGAUCCUGUCAGCACUGCCGCUGGCAGGGAGUGAGACCUCCUGCCUCCCGGACUCCUACCUUCUGACGGUCAUCCCAGAAGAGCAGACCCAUCCCCACUGAACCCCUUCCCACAUUCAACUCCUCCAAUGAAGGGCUAAGAAAAUUCAUCAAUCCCUUUCCUAAGCAGAGGGGUAGCAAGGAUUUUUAUUUUCUAUAGAGAAAGCAUUUAUUCUGAUGCAGAGCCGAAAGGGCCCAACCACCAGUUCUGUAGCAUCUAGGCGGCAGCGGCUGCAGGCUGCGGGCAGCACCCUAGAGUCCCAGGCCUGGGGGAGGGAGCCUUGUUUACAAGCCCUUUUGCCCACCUUUGUGGCGUUCUGCUUUCUAGGCAAAGAUGUCUGUCUGUGGUACUGUCCAGCCUUUAAAACACACCCCGGGGAUGAGACUCUUUUUAAGAAAGGCAGUCUGUUUCUAGAGCUCUGGAAAGUGGUGGGGGCAGAAAAACAUCCCCGCCUAUUCACCACGUCGGAGGGAUCUGCGGAACAGCUUUUCUCCUUCCUAGGUUAGGCUGAAUAAGCAGCAAUGUAUCUUUUCUGUACUCAAAAUAAAUGCUCAUUAUCAAC